This 570-nucleotide ribosomal RNA is filed under the name uncultured bacterium. RNAcentral's name for it is "bacterial SSU rRNA". It matches the Rfam family "Bacterial small subunit ribosomal RNA", at positions 338 to 916 of the family's 1533-position model. The record is from RNAcentral.
CCUACGGGAGGCAGCAGUGGGGAAUAUUGCACAAUGGGCGCAAGCCUGAUGCAGCGACGCCGCGUGAGGGAUGACGGCCUUCGGGUUGUAAACCUCUUUCAGCAGGGACGAAGCGCAAGUGACGGUGCCUGCAGAAGAAGCACCGGCCAACUACGUGCCAGCAGCCGCGGUAAUACGUAGGGUGCAAGCGUUGUCCGGAAUUACUGGGCGUAAAGAGCUCGUAGGCGGUUUGUCGCGUCGUCUGUGAAAACCAGCAGCUCAACUGUUGGCUUGCAGGCGAUACGGGCAGACUUGAGUAUUUCAGGGGAGACUGGAAUUCCUGGUGUAGCGGUGAAAUGCGCAGAUAUCAGGAGGAACACCGGUGGCGAAGGCGGGUCUCUGGGAAAUAACUGACGCUGAGGAGCGAAAGCGUGGGUAGCGAACAGGAUUAGAUACCCUGGUAGUCCACGCCGUAAACGGUGGGCGCUAGGUGUGGGUUUCCUUCCACGGGAUCCGUGCCGUAGCUAACGCAUUAAGCGCCCGCCUGGGGAGUACGGCCGCAAGGCUAAAACCGUCAAAGGGAAUUGACGG